This 377-nucleotide long non-coding RNA is filed under the name Numida meleagris (helmeted guineafowl). RNAcentral's name for it is "lncRNA (ENSNMEG00000006517.1)". Lineage: Eukaryota; Metazoa; Chordata; Aves; Galliformes; Numididae. The record is from RNAcentral.
UCUCCAUGGGGUGGUGGGGAACUGGGGUGGUGGGAUCCCAUGGGGUGGUGGGUCUCCAUGGGGUGGUGGGUCUCCAUGGGGUGGUGGGAUCCCAUGGGGUGGUGGGAUCCCAUGGGGUGGUGAGAUGUUGGGGUUGUGGGUCUCCAUGGGGUGGUGGGAUUUGGGGUGGUGGGUCUCCAUGGGGUGGUGGAUUUGGGGUGGUGGGAUCCCAUGGGGUGGUGAGAUGUUGGGGUUGUGGGUCUCCAUGGGGUGGUGGGAUUUGGCGUGGUGGGUCUCCAUGGGGUGGUGGAUCUCCAUGGGGUGGUGGUCUCCAUGGGGUGGUGGAUCUCUAUGGGGUGGUGGUCUCCAUGGGGUGGUGGAUCUCUAUGGGGUGGUGG